AACGGCCGUACCAUGCUGAAUAUACCGGUUCUUGUUAGAUCACCGAAGUUAAGCAUCAUUGGGCGCGGUCAGUACUUGGGUGGGUGACCACUUGGGAACACUGCGUGCCGUU
This 112-nucleotide ribosomal RNA is filed under the name Caerostris darwini. The record is from RNAcentral. Lineage: Eukaryota; Metazoa; Arthropoda; Arachnida; Araneae; Araneidae.